CCUAAUGGCCAACGUGUUGAUCAGCUCUUUGAAAAAAACUUCUUCAUCUUUCAUCUCUCAGGAUAUUGAGGGAACAGGAAAAUAUUUUACCAUUUAACUCCAGGCCUUGCCAACGGUUUUAGCAGAGCAUUAAUCCCAUAAAUCAGUCAUACCUUGUGCUCUCCACAGGCUCCGCAGUUGGUGAACAGCAGAUAAGCCCUUAGAGGGUGUUUUGAAAGCCAAGUAAAUACAUCUGUGUCAGAUCAAAGGCGGAGCUGAGUUCCAGGGUUGGAUCUGUCCUGCCGGUAGCCCAGUCUUGUUUUGACCAGAGAAUGAAGAUUAAUAGACCUUUUAAUUGUAUUCAAGCAAGUACAUUAUGAGAUUAUCACCUCAGAAGUGCCAUUUAGCC
This is a long non-coding RNA of Pipra filicauda (Wire-tailed manakin), 388 nucleotides long. RefSeq lists it as uncharacterized. The record is from RefSeq and is a predicted model, not a curated record. NCBI's taxonomy places the organism in Eukaryota, Metazoa, Chordata, Aves, Passeriformes, Pipridae. The transcript is spliced from 3 exons.